UUCUUAGGUUCUUGUCCAUCUUCUUUUUUUUUUCUUUCUUCAUUUUAUAGAGAACAUUUAAGAGAGUGUUUGGAAGGAAGAAGAAGAGGAAUUUUACUAGAAUUUUGAGGUUGAAGAAGAGAAGGAGAACUCAAGCAAAGUGUAUUCAUAGCUGAAUCUUGGUUCAUUCUGCACAUCACUGGUUUUUAAUUCGGUUUAAACUCUUCAAAAGGAAUUAGGAGGGCAGUUGAAUUUCACGCGAAAUCAGAAGGUCUAUUGUUUUUCUUGUAUUUCAGAUUGUACCAGUGGAGUUAGGAUCUUUAUUUGGGACAAGUUAAAGAGGUCUUGUGCGCGCGAUUCUUGAAGGUUUUCUGUUUCGAGGGUUAUCUGAGUUUAUUCACAGGGAAUCAGAUUUACAUGUCUUCAGGUCGAGAAGAAUUAAGCCGAGCUUAUAGACCAAGAAUCUAGCCCAAGACUGUAGAGAUCGAGUUUCCAGUGCCUAAUAGACUGCCUUAGUCUGCUGAAGCUCCGUUAUCGAUUGCUAGUACGUGUUUCGAGUUGGGCAUAGAGUCUGAUGUGUUAUGAUGUAUAUACACCCUUGUAUGUUAUAGAUACUCCACAGUUUGUAUAAGCUUUAGAAGCUGCAGUUGUGUAAAUUUUUGUUGGUUAUAUUUUGAUUAAGGUGUCUUUAGGUUUACUCGUGAAAUCAGUUAAUUUCGAAGUACACUUCAUGUAUGUGUUUGACUAGCCUAGGAUUCGUUGUGUUUUGUUGCAUGUAUAAUAGUUUAUAUACUAGAUUGGCAAGUUUAUCACAUUAAAGUUUUAAGCAGAGUCGAUAGAUACAGGUAAAGAAAAGCAUGACAGAUAAGCCAAGAGGAAAUAGGUUGGAUUUACACAUCGGGAAACUAGUCCAAGAUUGUGAGUGACCAAAACCAGUUUUUAAAAAUAUUUUCUUUCUCCUAAAUAUUAACUAUGGUUGACUGAUCUACACGUUUAUUUACAAAGCAUUGAAAAUCAUUUGAAGUCCAUGAUUAUUUUCAAGUAUAAGUUUUGAGACUAGAAUUCUUACUGAAUGUUUAUGCUAGCACGUGAUUAUUGAAUGUCUGGAAAUUAUUUGAACCACUAUGUUUCAAACAAAGUAUGAGUUACCAAGUUUUGUUUUAAGAACUACAGCUUUUCACGAAUAAUCUAACUAAGUUUAAGCUUUACGAAAGAAAAGGAUAGAAGACAUGUUUUAAUGUUUUCAUACGAUUUUUUUGAUGUUUCUAUUAACUACAUGACUGAGGUGUUGAGCCCGAGGCUAUAUGGUACCGUGUGCACACAUGUUAGAUUUCGUUGUUGAUGUUGAGUGUACUCUGUAACAACGAUGCUCGUGAGUGCUGGGCGGACCCCACUACAUCGUAGAGCUUGUAAACGUUGUUGUACUGGGUGUACCCUACACAACGUAGAUUUGUCAUGUUAGUUAAAAUAUUUCGAUAUACUUGGUAGGCCUUGCUAGAUUUCGAUGACAUAUAUACUGAGUAUUUAAGCAAGCUAUUCUUACUACUAUACGUCUAUAUUUACAACUUAUAUAAACAGAUUUAUAAGUGUAAGCUUUCACGUGCUCUUACUUUUAAAUUUCUAGUUUUAAACUGAGUCACUCACUGAGCUUUAUAGCUUACCCUUCCAAAAUGUUUUACACACUUUCCAGGUAGAGAUCGAGUUCCUGGUGCUUGAUAAACUGCCUUAGUCUACUGAAGCUCUGUUAUCGAUUGCUAGUACGUGUUUAGAGUUGGGCAUAAAAUCUGUUGUGUUAUGAUGUAUAUACAUCCUUGUAUGUUAUAGAUACUCCACAGUUUGUAUAAGCUUUAGGAGCUGCGGUUGUGCGAACCUUUGUUGGUUAUAUUUUGGUUAAGGUGUCUCUAGGUUUACUUGUGAAAUUAGUUAUUUCCGAGAUACAUUUCAUGCAUGUAUAUGAUUAGUCUAGGAUUCGCUGUGUUGUGUGCAUGUAUAAUAGUUUAUAUACUAGAUUUGUCACACCCCCUCCCGGACUACUUGCUACCUUAGACUGAAAGAUGGCGUGAAGCCGACAAAUAACGCUUUUCUGUACCUGUAUCUGUCGACUCUGCUUAAAACUUUCAUGUGAUGAACUUGUCAAUCUAGUAUAUAAACUAUUAUACAUGCAACAAAACACAGCGGAUCCCAGGCUAGUCAAACAUAGCUUGUCAAACACAUACAUGAGGUGUACCUCAAAAUUUACCGAUUUCACGAGUAAACCUAAAGACACCUUAAUGAAAAUAUAACCAACAAAAUUUACACAACUACAGCUCCUAAAGCUUAUACAAACUGUGGAGUAUCUAUAACAUACAAGGGUGUAUAUACAUCACAACACAACAGACUCUAUGCCUAACUCAAAACACGUACUGGCAAGCGAUAAUGGAGCUUCAGCAGACUAAGGCAGUCUAUCAGGCACCGGGAACUCGAUCGCUACCUAGAAAAUGGGUAAAACAUUUUGGAAAGGGUGAGCUAUGAAGUUCAGUGAGUGACUCAGUUUAAAACUAUGAAUUUAAAGAUAAGAGCACGUGAAAACUUUACACAUAUAAAUCUGUUUAUACAAGUCGUAAAUGUAAACGUGUAGUAGUAAGAAUAGCUUCCUUAAAUACUCAGCAUGUUCAUCAUUGAAAUCUAGCAAUGCAUAUCAAGUAUAUCGAAGAAUUUUAACUAACAUGACAAAUCUACGUUGUGUAGGGUCCACUCAGUACAACAACGUUUACAAGCUCUACGAUGUAGUGGGGCCCGCCCAGCACUCCCAUCAUCUUUGUCGUAGUGGGGCCCGCCCAACACUCAUGACGGCAUCGUUGUUAGGGAGUACACUCAACGUCAACAACGAAAUCUAACCAAUGUGCACACGGUAAUCUCUAGCCUCAGGCUCAAGAUCUCAGUCAUGUAGUUAAUGAAAAUUUCAUAAAUCAUCUAAAAAUAUUAAAAAAUGCUUGCUUAUAAAUUUUACACAAACCUCGAACUUUACUCAGCUCUUUUGUGGAAAACUGUAGUUCUUAAAACAAAACUUCUUACUAAUUCAUGCUUUGCUUAAGACAUUGUGGUUUAAAUACUUUCCAAACAUUUAAUAUCUACGUGCUAGCAUAAAUUUCUUUAAGAAAUCUAGUCUCCAAAUGUAUACUUGAAAAUAGUCAUGAAAUUCAAAUACCUUUCAUGGCUUCGUAAAUAAACAUUUAUCGCAUUCAAUCAUAAUAACAGUUAUGGAAAAUAUUUCAAAGUUGGUUUUGUCACUCACCGUCUUGGGCUAGAUCCUUGGUCUAUAAGCUCGGUUUAAUUCUUCU
Cucumis melo (muskmelon) is the source of this 3299-nucleotide long non-coding RNA. RefSeq lists it as uncharacterized. Lineage: Eukaryota; Viridiplantae; Streptophyta; Magnoliopsida; Cucurbitales; Cucurbitaceae. The record is from RefSeq and is a predicted model, not a curated record. The transcript is spliced from 5 exons.